UGACCUCAAAUCAGGUAGGACUACCCGCUGAACUUAAGCAUAUCAAUAAGCGGAGGAAAAGAAACUAACAAGGAUUCCCCUAGUAACUGCGAGUGAAGCGGGAAAAGCUCAAAUUUAAAAUCUGGCAGUCUUUGGCUGUCCGAGUUGUAAUCUAGAGAAGUGUUAUCCGCGCUGGACCGUGUACAAGUCUCCUGGAAUGGAGCGUCAUAGAGGGUGAGAAUCCCGUCUUUGACACGGACUACCAGGGCUUUGUGAUGCGCUCUCAAAGAGUCGAGUUGUUUGGGAAUGCAGCUCAAAAUGGGUGGUAAAUUCCAUCUAAAGCUAAAUAUUGGCGAGAGACCGAUAGCGAACAAGUACCGUGAGGGAAAGAUGAAAAGAACUUUGGAAAGAGAGUUAAACAGUACGUGAAAUUGCUGAAAGGGAAACGCUUGAAGUCAGUCGCGUUGUCCAGGGAUCAACCUUGCUUUUGCUUGGUGCACUUUCUGGUUGACGGGUCAGCAUCAAUUUUGACCAUUGGAAAAAGAUUGAGGGAAUGUGACAUCUUUGGAUGUGUUAUAGCCCUUGGUUGCAUACGAUGGUUGGGAUUGAGGAACUCAGCACGCCGCAAGGCCGGGUUUUUAACCACGUACGUGCUUAGGAUG
This 641-nucleotide ribosomal RNA is filed under the name Cortinarius smithii. RNAcentral describes it as "eukaryotic LSU rRNA". It matches the Rfam family "Eukaryotic large subunit ribosomal RNA", at positions 1 to 625 of the family's 3401-position model. RNAcentral also lists the same sequence under 1 other name. The record is from RNAcentral. Lineage: Eukaryota; Fungi; Basidiomycota; Agaricomycetes; Agaricales; Cortinariaceae.